GUGGGAGAAAGGACCACGUGAGCUUGUGAGGGACCAUCGCCAGCCACCACCCACAUCCUGCUCUCCGCACGCAUGGAAGANNNNNNNNNNNNNNNNNNNNNNNNNNNNNNNNNNNNNNNNNNNNNNNNNNNNNNNNNNNNNNNNNNNNNNNNNNNNNNNNNNNNNNNNNNNNNNNNNNNACUGAGAGGCCCUGGACACUCCAGGGGCGGGUACGUGCUGCGGUCCUGAUGUGACAUUUGACAGCUUUCUGCUCUAGGUAUUCUGCGUCUCAGGUGGCCGCUUCUCAGACCAGCUCUGCACUCUGGAUUCUUCUCUCAGAUUCCACAUCAACGAGCUUCAUUUCAAAAUGGGCCAUCUUUUACCCCAGUCCUCAUGUCCUGUUUUGCUGUCCAUUCAUUCAUCCAUCCAUUCAGCGUAACUACGGAGUGCUUCCUCUGCUGGUCAAACCUAUGUCGCGCAUGAAGCUGGACCUAAGUCGUGGGCCCACCAGGCACAUAGUUGGCGAUGACAGAGGACAUGGUGACACCAGCCUGCAAGUGAGCCUCCCAGCUGACAUGUGGAUGGGUGCGAAGGAGGACUGGAGCCUUGGAGAGCCAAUGCUCUCAUGUUUACUGCCCCGGCUUUAUCCGAGAUUGACCAGAUGUCCAGCCACAGGAAGUCAGCAAGUGCUUUCUUUAGUCUUCUUUCCAAAGGGUCGGCAGGGAUGUUUGAGGACCUCCUGGUGGGUGUGGGAGGCACCAACAAGCCUAAGGCCUCAGAUAUUUUGAUACAGGCUUGAGGCUCCCCACUCCCCACAAUCCCACACUGCUGAGAAUCACUCUGAAUAGCGAUGUUCCUCACAGGGACGCGAUGUGCUUGUGAACGACUCAGGGGCAGAAGAAAGGGAGAGGAAACAUUGUCUGCCGGCUUUCAUUCAUUCACACAUUCAUUUGUCUCUGAAACACCUAUUGAGCCCCUGCUAGGUGUCUGGCUCUCUUGGGCACUGGAAUAUUGACAGGAAGAGCAGGCUAAGAGGAUGCACCUGUCGGCAUCCUUGGGAAGCUUGCCAUCAAUGGGAGCCUGUGAGAAUCUGAUCAAAGGGCAAAGGGGGCAACAACCCCUCUGUUAACUUUGGAAGCUGUCGCUGUCUCUCUGGGGACCCAACUCCACAUAAGGUGCUUGAAGUCAGGAGUGUUCAUGGUGCCUCCACCAGAGAUGCUUCACUCAUUUGACCAGAGAUAGGUGCUCAGAAACCUGGGCUGUGAGUUUAAUUUUCAGAGAUUAACAUGUGACUGAUUAGAAAAACAUCCAGGGGCAGGCAUCUUGCAGAUUAUGUCCUUGCUUCUGGGCUCAGGUAACCCUGGUGGCUCAGCUGAUAGAGCAUUUCCCGCAAUGCGGCAGACCCAGCUUCAGUCCCUGGGUGGGGAAGAUUCCCUGGAGAAGGGAAUAGCAAUCCACUCCAGUAUUCUUGCCUGGAGAGUUCCAUGGACAGAGGAGCCNNNUGGGCUACAGUCCAUGGGGUUGCAAAGAGUCAGACAUGACUGAAUGACUAUCACUUUCGCUUUUGAACCCUACACACACUGAGAAAAUAAACAACUCAAGUGCAAGUUAUAGAGGUGAACUGAAGGUUAGAGUGAAGUAUAUCCAGGAAAGUUGGCAGAUGCAAAGAGGCUUCCCCAAAUGGUGUUGGUAUUGAUACCCCUGCUCAGAGUCUAGGGUCUGCCUCCAGCCUCAUGUGCUCAAAGCAUGGAUCAAGAGCAGAUCCGAUGCUUAGAAAAGAUUUGCUCUAGCCAAAUCUAUAGGCUUGUGAAUCAACUCAGAAUGCCAUUUCCUUGAUUUAUCCUGAAAAACACAACUGUCGUCCAAGUAAAACAUGUGGUAAUGGCCUGUAUCUGUCUCUUUCUAUAGAACAAUCUUUAAGGCAGUUGUCAACAGUAGAUCAUUUGGUGAGUUUGAAAUCAGAACAAAGGGACCUGGUUAGAUGGCUUUGCUAUUUAAUAACAUUAAAUUGUGAGAACCUGGUCAACCACAGUUAUAUGUAAAAUACAUGGUCACUGGCUCUGAUGGACUUGAAAUGGGCAGGGCAUCACUCCUGAACACACCUUGGGUAGGGGUUGCCAACCCCAUUUCUGAUGGCCUAUUCUUGCUUCAUCUAUGUGAUGGCUUUCAGUCCUGUCUUAUAGGUUUGAGAGUCAUUUUAUUUCUUUCAAGAGACUUUGUGUCUCUCCACUAUGGUUCUUAGAACUUAUGGUUUAACUUAUAAUGACAACCUUAUAUCCUUUUGAACAUUUUGUCCACAGUUCAAUUCAGUCGUGUCCAACUCUUUGUGACCCUAUGGAUUGUAGCACACCAGGCUUCCCUGUCCAUCACCAAUUCCUGGAGCUUGCUCA
This 2369-nucleotide long non-coding RNA is filed under the name Capra hircus (goat). Its description in RNAcentral is "lncRNA (ENSCHIG00010005943.1)". Lineage: Eukaryota; Metazoa; Chordata; Mammalia; Artiodactyla; Bovidae. The record is from RNAcentral.